AAGGGAGACCUAAUUCAGGUAGGAGACGAAAAAAAAGUAGUCGCUACCAAGAAUCAAUCCCAAAAGGUCGGAACGAGGUAUGUGGCUUUCAAACUAGGUUCUGGGUUCAUAAAAGACCUGAAUCAGGAACAAGGGCUAUUAGCUCAGGUGGUUGGAGCGCACCCCUGAUAAGGGUGAGGUCCCUGGUUCGAGUCCAGGAUGGCCCACCUGCACAGGUGGCAAAAACAAAGAAGGGAAGCGAGGAAUCAGCACCUGCUCUUAUCUAUAUAUAAGAGAGAAUGCUGGCUCUGAGUACAGAGUCCAGAGGAACCUUGAAAACUGCAUAGAGCUAGGUGAAAAAGCCAAAAAAGAAGACCGCAA
Molecule: transfer RNA, 360 nt
Filed under: Microcystis aeruginosa MP05F5
Lineage: Bacteria; Bacillati; Cyanobacteriota; Cyanophyceae; Chroococcales; Microcystaceae
Description: partial 16S-23S ribosomal RNA intergenic spacer
Rfam family: tRNA (bases 133-206)
Source: RNAcentral